AAAAACUAACAAUAAUUUUAAAGAGACACAAACCUCGCCAAGAAAAAGAAAAACAAACCAAAAACAAAAGGACCAAGAAAAAAAAAUGUGAACCAAACAAUAGACUAAAAAAUUGGGACUAAUAAAGUUGGAAUAAAAUUUCACCAAGUGAAUAGUGAGAAUAAACUCCAAGAGAACGAGAGAUGAGUAAGUAGAUAAGCUAUUUGGAACCUUAAAUUGCAUAGAACGUAGUAAGCAAAUACACUAUUUGAUACAUAAUUUUCAAAAAAUGAGAUUACGCGGAACAAAUAGGCAAAGCCACCAUAUAUGAAUCAUAUUCUAUAAUCAAAACUUAUUUUAACAUUUCUCAUGAGCAAUAUUGUCUACAAGUAUAAUUAUGUAUGCCUCCAACUCUUAUUGAAAAUAAUAAAAUAAGGAAUACAUCAAAAAU
RNAcentral lists this long non-coding RNA (430 nucleotides) under Trifolium pratense (red clover). RNAcentral's name for it is "long non-coding RNA (TPRA_LNC010911)". The record is from RNAcentral. Lineage: Eukaryota; Viridiplantae; Streptophyta; Magnoliopsida; Fabales; Fabaceae.